This 434-nucleotide ribosomal RNA is filed under the name bacterium enrichment culture clone ALO1_GLFRUDD03FSHGY. Its description in RNAcentral is "bacterial SSU rRNA". It matches the Rfam family "Bacterial small subunit ribosomal RNA", at positions 9 to 421 of the family's 1533-position model. The record is from RNAcentral.
GAGUUUGAUCAUGGCUCAGGACGAACGCUGGCGGCGUGCCUAACACAUGCAAGUCGAACGGAGAACUCGAAAAGCUUGCUUUGAGAGUUCUUAGUGGCGGACGGGUGAGUAACGCGUGGGCAACCUCCCCCUUAAACCGGGACAACCCUUGGAAACGAGGGCUAAUACCGGAUACGCUUUUCUGAGGACAUCCUCGGGAAAGGAAAGGCGGCCUCUGAAGAUGCUGCCGAUAAGGGAUGGACCCGCGUCUGAUUAGCUGGUUGGUGGGGUAAAGGCCUACCAAGGCGACGAUCAGUAGCCGGCCUGAGAGGGUGAACGGCCACACUGGGACUGAGACACGGCCCAGACUCCUACGGGAGGCAGCAGUGGGGGAAUCUUCCGCAAUGGACGAAAGUCUGACGGAGCAACGCCGCGUGUAUGACGAAGGCCUUCGG